AGGUGGUGCAUGGUUAUCGUCAGCUCGUGUCGUGAGAUGUUGGGUUAAGUCCCGCAACGAGCGCAACCCUCGCCUCUAGUUGCCAGCAUUCGGUUAGGCACUCUAGAGGGACUGCCGGCGACAAGUCGGAGGAAGUGGGGAUGACGUCAAAUCAUCAUGCCCCUUAUGACCUGGGCUACACACGUGCUACAAUGGGCGGUACAAAGGGCUGCGAACCCGCGAGGGGGAGCGAAUCCCAAAAAGCCGCUCUCAGUUCGGAUUGCAGGCUGCAACUCGCCUGCAUGAAGCCGGAAUCGCUAGUAAUCGCAGGUCAGCAUACUGCGGUGAAUACGUUCCCGGGCCUU
This 344-nucleotide ribosomal RNA is filed under the name uncultured Geobacillus sp. Its description in RNAcentral is "bacterial SSU rRNA". It matches the Rfam family "Bacterial small subunit ribosomal RNA", at positions 1036 to 1382 of the family's 1533-position model. The record is from RNAcentral. Lineage: Bacteria; Bacillati; Bacillota; Bacilli; Caryophanales; Anoxybacillaceae.